AUUGAACGCUGGCGGCAGGCCUAACACAUGCAAGUCGAACGGUAACAGGAAACAGCUUGCUGUUUCGCUGACGAGUGGCGGACGGGUGAGUAAUGUCUGGGAAACUGCCUGAUGGAGGGGGAUAACUACUGGAAACGGUAGCUACUACCGCAUAACGUCCCAAGACCAAAGAGGGGGACCUUCGGGCCUCUUGCCAUCGGAUGUGCCCAGAUGGGAUUAGCUAGUAGGUGGGGUAACGGCUCACCUAGGCGACGAUCCCUAGCUGGUCUGAGAGGAUGACCAGCCACACUGGAACUGAGACACGGUCCAGACUCCUACGGGAGGCAGCAGUGGGGAAUAUUGCACAAUGGGCGCAAGCCUGAUGCAGCCAUGCCGCGUGUAUGAAGAAGGCCUUCGGGUUGUAAAGUACUUUCAGCGGGGAGGAAGGGAGUAAAGUUAAUACCUUUACUCAUUGACGUUACCCGCAGAAGAAGCACCGGCUAACUCCGUG
This 490-nucleotide ribosomal RNA is filed under the name uncultured bacterium. RNAcentral describes it as "partial 16S ribosomal RNA". It matches the Rfam family "Bacterial small subunit ribosomal RNA", at positions 30 to 507 of the family's 1533-position model. The record is from RNAcentral.